AAUGUCUCUGUAGCUCAGCAGGAUAGAGCGUUCGCCUCCUAAGCGGUAGAUGGUUCGAGUCCAAAUGAGGCA
Molecule: transfer RNA, 72 nt
Filed under: bacterium
Lineage: Bacteria
Description: tRNA-Arg
Rfam family: tRNA
About the family: Transfer RNA (tRNA) molecules are approximately 80 nucleotides in length.
Source: RNAcentral